Molecule: long non-coding RNA, 5292 nt
Filed under: Sus scrofa (pig)
Lineage: Eukaryota; Metazoa; Chordata; Mammalia; Artiodactyla; Suidae
Description: lncRNA (ENSSSCG00040031831.1)
Source: RNAcentral
AUAGUAUUUAUUUUCCUACCUUUAUUUAAGUAAAACUAACAUUUAUUUGGAAAAUCAUUUGGAAAAUUAUUAGGAAAUUACACUAAUGUAAACUGUUAUAUUUCCAUUGACUUAGGCUUACAUAAAGUGUCUCCCGAUACAACACUUUUCUUUAACACAAAUAAAAGGAAUGACCCUACUCCCUGUCCUGGCCUGCCAUCGGUGAGAUCAGUAACAAAACCCAAGUCAGGGUAUGUUAUAAACAGACCCUAUUUUCUAAUUUAUAGCAUCCACUUUCGUAUUAAAGAAUCAUUUCACUUUGGACCCUAAGUUCUGUUAAAUGGAAUAAAAUAUUUAGAUAUAGUUGACAUAUAACAUUCAUUUCAGGUAUACAACAUAAUGAUUCCAUAUUUCUUUAUAUUGGGGAAUAACUGUCACAGUAAUUCUACUUAACCUCCAUUACCAUACAUAGUUAGGAAACUUUUUCUUAGGAUGAAAACUUUGAAGAUUUACUCUCUCAGCAACUUUCAAACAUACAGUAUUGUAUUAUUAAUAUAUAUAGUCAUGCUGUAUGUACAUUGCAUCUCUAUGACAUUUAUUAUGUAACUGGAAGUUUGUACUUUUUAACCCCUUCACUCAUUUCACAUACUACCCCCACCCGAUCCUGCCUCUGGAAACCAGCAAUUUGUUCUCUCUAUUCAUGAGCUUUAUUUGUUUGGUUGUUUUGGUAUUUUUUUCCUUCCCUUCCUCUCUCCCUCCUCCCUUUUUCCCUUCCUUCCUUUCUUGGUUUUCUGGGGAUUUCUUUAGAUUCCACAUAUGGGUGAUGCCAUGCAGUAUUUGACUUUCUGUUUGACUUAUUUCAUUUAGCAUAAUACUCUCAGUGUCCAUCCAUGUUGUCACAAAUGGCAAAAUAUCCUUUUUAUGGCUGAAUAAUAUUCCAUUGUAUAUAUAACGCAUAUUGUUUAUUCAACUAUCAGUGAACAUGACAUAGUUGCUUCCAUAUCUUGAAUAUUGUAAAUAAUGCUGAAGUGAACAUGGGGUUGCAAAUAUCUCUCUGAGUUUUUGUUUUCAUUUUCUUCAGCUAAAUGCCCAGAAGUGGAAUCUCUUGAUCAUAUUUAAUUUUUUAAUUUUUUGAGGAACCUCCAUACUGCUUUCCAUAAUGGCUGCUCUGAUUUACAUUCCCACCAACGGUGCAAAGGGUUCCCUUUUCUCCACAUUCUAGCCAACUUAUUAUUUCUGUUUUUUUUAGUGAUAGCCAUUCUAACAGUGUGAUGUCACAGCUCACUGUGGUUUUAAUCUACAUGUCCCUGAUGAUUGGUGACUCUUAGCACCUUUUCAUGUACCUUUUGACCAUUUAUAUGUCUUCUAUGGAAAAAUGUCUAUUCAGAUCCUCUACCUAUGUUUUAAUCAGAUUGGGUUUUUUUGUUACUUAGUUGUAUAAGUUCUCUAUAUAUUUUGUAUUUUAACCCCUUAUUUAGAUAUGGGGUUUGCAAAUAUUUUCUCCCAUUUUGUUGGUUACUUUUUUGUUUUGUUGAUAGUUUUGUCUGGAUAUAUGCCCAGGAGUGGGAUUCCUGGAUAACAUGGUAGUUCUAUAUUUAGUUUUUUGAGAAACCUCCAUUACUGUUUUCCAUAAUGGUUGUACCAAUUUAUGUUACCACUAACAGUGAAGAAGUGUUCCUUUUUCUCCACAUCUUCUCCAGCAUUUGCUAAUUAUUGACUUGUUAAUGAUGGCCAUUCUGACCAGUGGGAGAUGGUACCACAUUGUAAUUUUGAUUUGCGUUUCUGUAAUAAUCAGUGAUGUUGAACAUUUUUUCAUGUUCCUAUUGGCCAUCCAUAUGUCUUCUUUGGAUAGAUGUCUAUAUGGGUUUUCUGCCCAUUUUUCAUUUGGGUUGUUUGUGUUUUUUUGUUGUUGAGUUAGUUGUAUGAGUUGUUUGUAUAUUUUAGAGAUUAGGCCCUGGUCACUUAUAUCGUUUGCAAAGAUUUUCUUCCAUUCUGUGGAUUGUCUUUUUUUUUUUUAAUGGUUUCUUUUGCUGUGCUGAAGAUUUUGAGUUAAAUAAGGUCCCACUGGUUUACUUUUGUCUUUAUUGUCAUUACUCUAGGAGGUGGAUCAAACAAGAUGUUGCUGUGAUUUAUGUCAAAGAACAUUCUGCCUAUGUUUUCCUCUAGGAAUUUUAUAGUAUAUGGCCUUUAAUUUACCUCUUUAAUUCAUUUUGAAUUUAUUUUUGUGUAUGGUAUUAGAUAAUGUGCUAAUUUCAUUCUUUUAUAUGUAUCUUUCCAGUUUUCCCAGGACCAAUUACUGAAAAAGAUUAUUUUUCCUCUACUGUAUGUUUUGCCUCCUUUUUCAUAGGUUAGUUGACUGUAGGUGCUUGGAUUUAUUUCUGGGGUUUCUAUCCUAUUCCAUUGCUCUAUAUGUCUGUUUUUGUGCCAGUGCCAUACUGUUUUGAUGUCUGUAGUUUUGUAGUAUAGCCUGAAGUCAAGGAGCCUGAUUCCUCCAGCUCCAUUUUUUCUUUCUCAGAAUUGCUUUGGCUAUUCAGGGUCUUUUGCGAUUUCAUACAAAUUUUAAAAUAUUUUGUUCAGUUCUAUGGAGAAUAUCUGUGGUAAUUUGAUAGGGAUUGCAGUGAAUCUGUAGAUUGUCUUGAGUAGUACAGUCAUUUUGACAAUUUUGAUUCUUCCAAUCCAAGAGCAUGAUCUGUCUUCCAUCUGUUUGUGUCUUGUUUGAUUUCUUUCAUCAGCAUCUUGUAGUUUUCAGAGUAUGGGCCUUUUGUCUUUUUAGGUUGGUUUAUUCCUAGGUAUUUUAUUCUUUUUGAUGUGAGGUAAAUGGGAUAGUUUCCCUAAUUUCUCUUUCUGAUCUUUCACUGAUAGUAUAUAGAAAUGCAAAUCUAUUUCUGUGUAUUAAUUUUGUGUCCUGCAACUUUACCAAAUUCAUUGAUGAGCUCUAACAAUUUUCUCAUAGGGUCUUUAGGAUUUUCUAGGUGUAGUAUCAUGUCAUCUGCAGACAGUGAUAGUUUUACUUCUUCUCCAAUUUGGAUUCCUUUUAUUUCUUUUCCUUCUCUGUUUGCUGGGUCUAGGACUUCCGAAACUAUGUGAAUAACAGUAGUGAAAGUGGACAUCCUUACCUUGUUCCAGAUCUUAGUGGAAAUGUUUUCAGCUUUUCACCAUUGAGAAUGAUGUCAGCUGUGGGUUUGUCAUAUAUGGCUUUUAUUAUGUUGAAAUAGGUCCCCUCUCUGCCCACUCUCUGGAGAGUUUUUUUUUUUUUUUUAUCAGAAAUGGGUAUUGAAUUUUGUUAAAAGCUCUUUGGCUCUAUUGGGAUUAUAAUAUGGUUUUCAUUUUUCAUUUUUUUGAUGUGGUGUAUCACACUGAUUGUUUUGCAGGUAUUGAAGAAUCCUUACAUCCCUGGGAUAAAUCCCACUUGAUCAUGGUGUAUGAUCCUUUAAUAUGUACUUGUAUUCAGUCUGCUAAUAUUUUGUUGAGGAUUUAUGCAUCUAUGUUCAUCAGUGAUAUUGGCCUGUAAUAUUCUUUUUUUGUGGUAUCCUUGUCUGGUUUUGGUGUUAGGGUGACAGUGGCUUCACUUCGUCACAGAGGAAGUGUUCCUUCCUCUGCAAUUUUUUGGAAGAGUUUCAGAAGAAUAGGUGUUAACUCUUCUCUGAAAGUUUGUUAGAAUUCACCUAUGAAGCCAUCAGGUCCUAAACUUUUGUUUUUUGGAAGUUUUUUUAAUCAAGUUUUCAAUUUCAGUACUUGUGAUUGGUCUGUUCAUAUUUUCUAUUUCUUCCUGGUUCAGUCUUGGUAGGUUGUACCUUUGUAAGAAUCUGUCCAUUUUUUCCAGGUUGUCCAUUUUAUUGGCAUAUAGUUGCUAAUAGUAGUCUCUUAUGAUCCUUUUUAUUUCUGUGGUGUUAGUUGUAACUUCUCCUUUUUCAUUUCUAAUUUUAUUGCCUCUCCCUUUUUUUUUCUUGAUGAAUGUGGCUAAAGGUUAAUCAAUUUUGUUCAUCUUUUCAGAGAACCAACUUUUUGUUUCAUUGAUCUUCUCUAUUAUUUUCUUUGUCUCUAUGUCAUUAAUUUCUGCUCUAAUAUUUAUGAUUCCUUUCCUUUUACUAAUACUGGGUUUUGUCUGUUUGUUCCUCCUUCUCUAGAUGUUUUAGGCAUAAGGUUAGGUUUUUUAUAUGAGCUUUUUCUUGUUUCCUGAGAUAAGACUGUUUUGCUGUAAACUUGCCUCUCAGAACUACUUCUGCUGUGUUCCUUAGGUUUUGAAUUGUCAUAUCUUUAUUGUCAUUUGUCAUAUCUCUAAGUAUCUUUUAAUUUCCUCUUUGAGUUCUUCAGUGAUCCGUUGGUGGUUAUUAGCAUAUUGUUUAGCUUCCAGGAGUUUGUGUUUUUUGCUGUUUUCUUCUUUCUUUCUUUCUUCUUUUUUUGCUUUUGUCUUUUUAGGGCCGCACCCAAGGCAUAUGGAGAUUCUCAGGCGAGGGGUUGAUUCAGAGCUGUAGAGGGUGGCCUAUACCACAGUCAUGGCAAUGUGGGAUCUGAGCCAUAUCUAUGACCUACACCACACAGCUCACAGCAACACCAGAUCCUUAACCCACUGAGCAAGGCCAGGGAUCAAACCUGUGUCCUCAUGGCUGCUAGUCAGUUUUGUCUCUGCUGAGCCACAAUGGGAACUCCACUGUGUUUUGUUUUGUUUUUUUCUUAUAAUUUAUUUAUAGUCUCAUAACAUUGUGGUCAGAGAAAAUGCUUGAGAUAAUUUCAAUUAAAAGAAAAGUGUCAAGUCUUGAUCUGUGGCCCAGGACGUGAUCUGUCCUAGAGAAUGUUUCAUGUGCACUUGAGAAGAAUAUAUAUUCUGCUGCUUUGGGAUGAAAUGUUCUAUAAAUAUCAGUGAAGUCUGUCUGGUCUAGGGUGUCAUUUAAUGCCUGUGAUUCCUUGUUGAUUUUUUGUCCUGAAUGAUCUGUCCAUUGAUGUAAGUGUUAAAGUCCCCCACUGAAUAUGCAUUUAUGAUGUGGCAGUCUAGAGAACUUUUCUUGGUGAGAAUUAUUUCAGAAGUGUUUCAGAAAGAGGAAAUUCUAUGCAUUUUUCAUAAAAGCACUUUAUCAGCACAGACAUCAUCUGCAGUUUGAAAGAUGUUGCUCAAUAAAUCCAGAACACCAGUGUCUUUUAAUAUAUAUCCAUGAUUGGAGUUCCUGUGGUGGCUCAGUGGUUAACAAAUCCUACAAGAAACCACGAAGUUGUGGGUUUGAUUUUUGGCCUUGCUCAGUGGGUUAAGGAUCCGGUAUUGCCCUGAGCUGUGGUGUAGGUCGCAGACAUGGCCAGGAUCCUGCGUUGCUGUGGCUC